RNAcentral lists this ribosomal RNA (226 nucleotides) under uncultured bacterium. RNAcentral describes it as "partial 16S ribosomal RNA". It matches the Rfam family "Bacterial small subunit ribosomal RNA", at positions 111 to 334 of the family's 1533-position model. The record is from RNAcentral.
UAACGCGUGAGGAACCUGCCUCAAAGAGGGGGACAACAGUUGGAAACGACUGCUAAUACCGCAUAAGCCCACGGUGCCGCAUGGCACAGAGGGAAAAGGAAGCAAUCCGCUUUGAGAUGGCCUCGCGUCCGAUUAGCUAGUUGGUGAGGUAAUGGCCCACCAAGGCGACGAUCGGUAGCCGGACUGAGAGGUUGAACGGCCACAUUGGGACUGAGACACGGCCCAG